AUGGAGAAAAGCAAGUCAUGUCCUGAAUACUCUUGUUCUUAUACUGAAUUUGGAUUCAGAGAAAGGUCUAGCUCAUAUAAUUUCAAUGGACCAAGUGAUAAAGGAAGUAGUUUUUCUGCAUCAAAUGAUUCAGAGAUUAAGAGAAAGAAGAGGAUCAAGUCCUAUAAUGUAUUGGCAGUGGAGGGAAAGCUUAAAAGUAGUGUAAGAAACAGUUUCAAGUGGAUCAAGAACAAGUUCAGCGAUGUUCGCUACGGUGUGUGA
Molecule: non-coding RNA, 261 nt
Organism: Vicia faba (fava bean)
Lineage: Eukaryota; Viridiplantae; Streptophyta; Magnoliopsida; Fabales; Fabaceae
Source: the annotation of a GenBank genome assembly